GCACUGCUGACGAAUCCCAAACAGGACGAAACAGUUGUCCAUUGC
RNAcentral lists this non-coding RNA (45 nucleotides) under Echinostoma caproni. Lineage: Eukaryota; Metazoa; Platyhelminthes; Trematoda; Plagiorchiida; Echinostomatidae. The record is from RNAcentral.